Molecule: long non-coding RNA, 1059 nt
Organism: Cavia porcellus (domestic guinea pig)
Lineage: Eukaryota; Metazoa; Chordata; Mammalia; Rodentia; Caviidae
Exons: 3
Source: RefSeq, a predicted model, not a curated record
GGAGACGAGACAGAUCUGGCCCAGGCUAGGAAGGCUCGCUUUGGGGCUGGCACUAACCACACUGGGAACCUUGGUUUCAUCAGGAAACUGAAGAAGGUGUGUUAGAAGACAGUUCCCUGAGGUCCCUCCAGGCUUUGUUUUGCAAUUAAAGGAGCUAUAAUCUACAGGACAAAGUCCUUGUAAGCUCGUCAGGUGCACAUUACUAGGUACCUCAUGUGAUCCUAGGUUACCAUGGUAUUCGAUAUGUCUAUGAAUUGAGAAUGUUUGUGUGGAAAAGUGAAGAAGGGCCCUUGUGAACAAUACAGUUGAAUGCAAGUGCAAUCACCGGCUUCUGUUUCCAGGAACACGCGCCCUCCUGGCCUGCAGAACUCCUGCUUGUGUUCCUGUACCUGCCUAGCGAGCACCUUCUCCACGUCAGACAAACACCGCCACAGCCCUCUGCCUGCUUGUGUCUCCCACGGGCUUUAUUCCUGUGUGUCCUCAGGUGCUGUUGACUUGGUGCAUCAUCUGAGCUGAAUGGUAAACUCUUCCUACGAAGGUCUCCAUGGUCCUCUCCACUCUUCUACUGACUGUUUUCUCAGGCUGCUGUCUCUUUUGCUUGUGACUUUCCAGAAGGCCUUGUGAAAAUUUACCUCUCCGGAAAGAUGUGCCAAGCUAAGGUUGACAUCACCGGAGAUGGCUGUGGCAUUCUAGGAAGGUGACAUGGAGGAAGAGAGGAGUGACCAUGCUGUCCGUGCCCUGGAAGGACCAGAGAACAGAACCUAAGGCAAAAUGAAGACAGUGCACAUGCUUUGCCGAUCUCUCAGAUCAGGUUAAUGUUGGUGUGGGUUUGUACUUUGAUUUGAAGUGUUAUAAAUUCCAGCAGUUUAAACAUAUGCAUGUUACAGUGCCUUCCAGAGCCAUUUCUGGAUGGCUGGAUGAUUUGUUAUUUUGGAUGUUGGGCUCUUUUGGAUUAUCCAUGUCUACUUUUACAGGAGUAGGGCUUAUUAUUGCUCAAGUCCUCAUCAAGACGAUUGAGUAUAAGUAACAGCCAUGCACAUGAGCCAGGCAAAGAAGAAA